CAGUAGGGUGCCAUCAAGAGGUGUAUU
Molecule: ribosomal RNA, 27 nt
Filed under: Enterocytozoon bieneusi
Lineage: Eukaryota; Fungi; Microsporidia; Enterocytozoonidae
Description: partial large subunit ribosomal RNA
Source: RNAcentral